Molecule: transfer RNA, 74 nt
Filed under: Saccoglossus kowalevskii
Lineage: Eukaryota; Metazoa; Hemichordata; Enteropneusta; Harrimaniidae
Description: tRNA-Asn
Rfam family: tRNA
About the family: Transfer RNA (tRNA) molecules are approximately 80 nucleotides in length. Their secondary structure includes four short double-helical elements and three loops (D, anti-codon, and T loops). Further hydrogen bonds mediate the characteristic L-shaped molecular structure. tRNAs have two regions of fundamental functional importance: the anti-codon, which is responsible for specific mRNA codon recognition, and the 3' end, to which the tRNAs corresponding amino acid is attached (by aminoacyl-tRNA synthetases). tRNAs cope with the degeneracy of the genetic code in two manners: having more than one tRNA (with a specific anti-codon) for a particular amino acid; and 'wobble' base-pairing, i.e. permitting non-standard base-pairing at the 3rd anti-codon position.
Source: RNAcentral
GUCUCUGUGGCGCAAUCGGUUAGCGCGGUCGGUUGUUAAUCGAAAGGUUUGUGGUUCAAGCCUACCCAGGGACG